Molecule: long non-coding RNA, 691 nt
Organism: Carlito syrichta (Philippine tarsier)
Lineage: Eukaryota; Metazoa; Chordata; Mammalia; Primates; Tarsiidae
Exons: 2
Source: RefSeq, a predicted model, not a curated record
GGGUGGGCUGCAUGAGGACUCCAAGACUCCCUUGCCUCUUUUCUUUGAAUCCAGGGAUAUCCUUAACCUACUUCUCCCCAGGGAUUCACCACUGCCCUUCUAGUAGUUCCCAUUAUUAAUCAUUGGUUCUCUGUCACAGAACCUGUUCAUUUCCUUCAUAGCACUUUUGAUAACUUGUAAAUAUGUGCGUGUGUUGUGUGUAUGUGUGUAUGUAUGUAAAGCAUAUAUAGAAUAAGCCUAUGAAGUAAAUAAAUACAUUUAAAUGUUUAUAAAUAUGUAAGAUCUAUGGCAGAUGUAAAGUAUAUACGUGUAUAUGUCUAAGCAAUACAUACAAAAAACACCCUAUGUAUGAAUGUGCAUGUGUGUUUCCUGGUUUCAUUUUAUCUUUCCCUCUGCAGGUUUCCUUGACCCUGACGUGCUUCACACUAAACACCCCAGCUAACGCAGAGCCUGGCACAUAGUACGUUCCUCCAAAGACAAUCCUGUUCACUAUGGAAGACAUUGAAACCUCCAGUGAUUGGAGCUUGGGGCCUUCUCCAAAAAGCAGUCAUUUACCUUUGUUUUUGCUCUAUCUACAAAAAAAUGUUCAUUGGCUCAUUCCUGAAGUCAACUUUGAUCCAACUAUGGUCAUCAGCUACUAGACCCUAUGAUACAUCUGUAAAAUGUUAAAAUAAACAUGUAUUUAAAAGAU